This 253-nucleotide ribosomal RNA is filed under the name uncultured bacterium. RNAcentral describes it as "partial 16S ribosomal RNA". It matches the Rfam family "Bacterial small subunit ribosomal RNA", at positions 524 to 776 of the family's 1533-position model. The record is from RNAcentral.
UACGAACUGUGCAAACGUUAUUCGGAUUCACUGGGCUUAAAGGGUGCGUAGGCGGCCAUGUAAGUAGGGUGUGGAAUCCCCCGGCUUAACCGGGGAACUGCGCCCUAAACUGUGUGGCUUGAGUGAGAUAGGGGUGUGUGGAACUUCCGGUGGAGCGGUGAAAUGUGUUGAUAUCGGAAGGAACGCCGGUGGCGAAAGCGACACACUGGGUCUCAACUGACGCUGAGGCACGAAAGCCAGGGGAGCGAACGGG